GCUCUUGUAGCUCAGUUGGUAGAGUACGGGUCUUAUGAGCCCGGUGUCGUGGGUUCGAGUUAAAGUCCCACCAAGAGCA
Molecule: transfer RNA, 79 nt
Filed under: Cryptomonas curvata
Lineage: Eukaryota; Cryptophyceae; Cryptomonadales; Cryptomonadaceae
Description: tRNA-Ile
Rfam family: tRNA
About the family: Transfer RNA (tRNA) molecules are approximately 80 nucleotides in length. Their secondary structure includes four short double-helical elements and three loops (D, anti-codon, and T loops).
Source: RNAcentral